Molecule: ribosomal RNA, 440 nt
Filed under: uncultured bacterium
Lineage: Bacteria
Description: partial 16S ribosomal RNA
Rfam family: Bacterial small subunit ribosomal RNA
Source: RNAcentral
CUACGGGACGCAGCAGUGGGGAAUCUUGCGCAAUGGGCGAAAGCCUGACGCAGCAACGCCGCGUGCGGGAUGAAGGCCUUCGGGCUGUAAACCGCUUUCAGCAGGAACGAAAAUGACGGUACCUGCAGAAGAAGGAGCGGCCAACUACGUGCCAGCAGCCGCGGUGACACGUAGGCUCCAAGCGUUGUCCGGAUUUAUUUGACAUAAAGAGCUCGUAGGCGGUUGAGUAAGUCGGGUGUGAAAACUCUGGGCUUAACCCGGAGACGCCAUCCGAUACUGCUCUGACUAGAGUUCAGGAGGGGAGUGGGGAAUUCCUAGUGUAGCGGUGAAAUGCGCAGAUAUUAGGAGGAACACCGGUGGCGAAGGCGCCACUCUGGACUGAAACUGACGCUGAGGAGCGAAAGCAUGGGUAGCAAACAGGAUUAGAUACCCUAGUAGUC